RNAcentral lists this long non-coding RNA (339 nucleotides) under Monodelphis domestica (gray short-tailed opossum). Its description in RNAcentral is "lncRNA (ENSMODG00000049404.1)". Lineage: Eukaryota; Metazoa; Chordata; Mammalia; Didelphimorphia; Didelphidae. The record is from RNAcentral.
GUUCUUAUGGCAUAAUAUAAUUGCCUAGCAUUCAGUGUUUUCAACGCUUAUGAAUUUUAGCAGUUUUUUUUUUAAUUUUGUUCAACAGAAGACUACCAAGGAUGAAUACACUUCAAAGGAAUGCAAAAAGUCAGUGAGGAGUACCGGGUUCCCAUUACCACUCCACUUUGAUUUGAAGAGGUUUCACCUAAGACUGUUCCUGUAUGAAUUUCAGAAAAAAAAAAGAUGAAAAGAAGAUAAAAGUAAUAUUCCUACCAUUACUACGAUGACUACUACUACUAAAUUACUACUACUACUGUUACUGCUUCCAAGGCAAUAAAAGAUUUCAAAAUAGAGACA